ACCGGGAGUGCCAGCGGACGGGUCCGCUCGCCAACCCGGUCAGGUCCGAAAGGAAGCAGCCGUAACGAGUCCGGCUUGGGUCGUCGGCUCUCCCACCCAC
This 100-nucleotide signal recognition particle RNA is filed under the name Eilatimonas milleporae. RNAcentral describes it as "Bacterial small signal recognition particle RNA". It matches the Rfam family "Bacterial small signal recognition particle RNA". Rfam says of the family: The signal recognition particle (SRP) is a universally conserved ribonucleoprotein involved in the co-translational targeting of proteins to membranes. Lineage: Bacteria; Pseudomonadati; Pseudomonadota; Alphaproteobacteria; Kordiimonadales; Kordiimonadaceae. The record is from RNAcentral.